RNAcentral lists this ribosomal RNA (384 nucleotides) under Picomonas sp. RNAcentral describes it as "SSU rRNA". It matches the Rfam family "Eukaryotic small subunit ribosomal RNA", at positions 587 to 975 of the family's 1831-position model. Lineage: Eukaryota; Picozoa; Picomonadea; Picomonadida; Picomonadidae. The record is from RNAcentral.
AGCUCCAAUAGCGUAUAUUAAAGUUGUUGCAGUUAAAAAGCUCGUAGUCGGAUUUUGGCAUCACGCCGCACUGUCUGCCGAUUGGUAAGUACGGUUUGGCGGGUGCUUCCUUCCGGUGCUGCGUUCUGCUCUUAGUUGAGCGGUUCGUUGGUUCCGGUUCUUUUACUUUGAGAAAAUUAGAGUGUUCAAAGCAGGCCUAUGCUCUGAAUAGGUUAGCAUGGAAUAAUAGAAUAGGACUUUGGUUCUAUUUUGUUGGUUUCUAGGACCGAAGUAAUGAUAAAUAGGGACAGUUGGGGGCAUUCAUAUUCCAUUGUCAGAGGUGAAAUUCUUGGAUUAACGGAAGAUGAACUUCUGCGAAAGCAUCUGCCAAGGAUGUUUUCAUUG